Molecule: small nuclear RNA, 124 nt
Organism: Otolemur garnettii (small-eared galago)
Lineage: Eukaryota; Metazoa; Chordata; Mammalia; Primates; Galagidae
Gene: U4
Rfam family: U4 spliceosomal RNA
About the family: U4 small nuclear RNA (U4 snRNA) is a component of the major U2-dependent spliceosome. The structure of U4 snRNA from yeast and human has been reported.
Source: Ensembl
UUCUCUGUGCAGCUGUAUCGUAGCCAAUGAGGUUUAUCUGAGGCAUGAUUAUUGCUAACUGAAUAUUUUCCCAAUACUCUGCCAUGAUGAUUUGAAAUAUAGUCAGUAUUAAUCUCUAUGGAGA